AUUGAACGCUGGCGGCAGGCCUAACACAUGCAAGUCGAACGAGUGGCGGACGGGUGAGUAAUGUCUGGGACACUGCCCGAUGGAGGGGGAUAACUACUGGAACCGGUAGCUAAUACCGCAUACAAUUGGAUGUGCCCAGAUGGCACUAGCGAGUGGGUUGGGUAUUGGCUCACCUCGGCGACGAUCCCUAGCUGGUCUGAGAGGAUGACCAGCCACACGUGAACUGAGACACGGUCCAGACUCCUACGGGAGGCAGCAGGGGGGAAUAUUGGACAAUGGGCGCAAGCCUGAUGCAGCCAUGCCGCGUGUAUGAAGAAGGCCUUCGGGUUGUAAAGUACUUUCAGCGGGGAGGCGUUACCCGCAGAAAAAGCACCGGCUAACUCCGUGCCAGCCGCCGCGGUAAUUC
This 406-nucleotide ribosomal RNA is filed under the name uncultured bacterium. RNAcentral's name for it is "partial 16S ribosomal RNA". It matches the Rfam family "Bacterial small subunit ribosomal RNA", at positions 30 to 526 of the family's 1533-position model. The record is from RNAcentral.